AACUGAUACUACCUGCGGGAACCUGCGGAGGGAUCAUUACUGAAGUGAUUUGGGGAUGUUGCUGGCCCUCUCUCAAGGGGGGGCACUGUGCACUCCUCGAAACAAUUCACAAUUUCCAUCACACCCCUUGUGCACACCUUGUAGGCACCCAAACCCACCUCCGGGUGGUGGGGUCCUAUGUAUUCCUUCAUCUCACACUCUGUUGAAUGGUGCCAUGGGACGCAUCUAAGGGAUUAUUUG
RNAcentral lists this unclassified non-coding RNA (240 nucleotides) under soil metagenome. RNAcentral describes it as "partial contains 5.8S ribosomal RNA, internal transcribed spacer 2, and large subunit ribosomal RNA". The record is from RNAcentral.